Molecule: ribosomal RNA, 194 nt
Filed under: uncultured Banisveld landfill bacterium BVC38
Lineage: Bacteria
Also listed under: 1 other name
Description: partial 16S ribosomal RNA
Rfam family: Bacterial small subunit ribosomal RNA
Source: RNAcentral
CCUACGGGAGGCAGCAGUGGGGAAUUUUGGACAAUGGGGGCAACCCUGAUCCAGCCAUGCCGCGUGAGUGAAGAAGGCCUUCGGGUUGUAAAGCUCUUUCGGCCGGAACGAAAUCGCGUACGUGAAUAACGUGCGUGGAUGACGGUACUGGAAGAAGAAGCACCGGCUAACUACGUGCCAGCAGCCGCGGUAAU